This is a non-coding RNA of Pelobates cultripes (western spadefoot toad), 135 nucleotides long. Lineage: Eukaryota; Metazoa; Chordata; Amphibia; Anura; Pelobatidae. The record is from the annotation of a GenBank genome assembly.
CUGCACAGGGAACACCCAAGUGUGCUAUGUAGCUCCCUUGGUUUUUAUCCUGUGCUAGAUUAAUGUCUGUCCUUUUUCCUCUGCGUUUGGGUGAGAUUUUGUUCUCCUGCACGUAUUCAGAAGUACAGUACACUG